GGAAACCGGAGCUAAUACCGGAUAAUAUAUUGAACCGCAUGGUUCAAUAGUGAAAGACGGUUUUGCUGUCACUUAUAGAUGGAUCCGCGCCGCAUUAGCUAGUUGGUAAGGUAACGGCUUACCAAGGCGACGAUGCGUAGCCGACCUGAGAGGGUGAUCGGCCACACUGGAACUGAGACACGGUCCAG
RNAcentral lists this ribosomal RNA (188 nucleotides) under uncultured Staphylococcus sp. RNAcentral's name for it is "partial 16S ribosomal RNA". It matches the Rfam family "Bacterial small subunit ribosomal RNA", at positions 152 to 334 of the family's 1533-position model. The record is from RNAcentral. Lineage: Bacteria; Bacillati; Bacillota; Bacilli; Caryophanales; Staphylococcaceae.